UACGUAGGGUGCAAGCGUUGUCCGGAAUUAUUGGGCGUAAAGAGCUCGUAGGCGGUUUGUCGCGUCUGCUGUGAAAACUCAGGGCUUAACUCUGAGCUUGCAGUGGGUACGGGCAGACUUGAGUGCGGUAGGGGAGACUGGAAUUCCUGGUGUAGCGGUGAAAUGCGCAGAUAUCAGGAGGAACACCGGUGGCGAAGGCGGGUCUCUGGGCCGUAACUGACGCUGAGGAGCGAAAGCAUGGGGAGCGAACAGG
RNAcentral lists this ribosomal RNA (253 nucleotides) under uncultured bacterium. Its description in RNAcentral is "partial 16S ribosomal RNA". It matches the Rfam family "Bacterial small subunit ribosomal RNA", at positions 524 to 776 of the family's 1533-position model. The record is from RNAcentral.